Long non-coding RNA from Gadus morhua (Atlantic cod), 1903 nucleotides. RefSeq lists it as uncharacterized. The record is from RefSeq and is a predicted model, not a curated record. Lineage: Eukaryota; Metazoa; Chordata; Actinopteri; Gadiformes; Gadidae. The transcript has 2 exons.
GCCGCCGUCAGAACGUGUGAAAUUUUGAAUGGGAUUGAUUGGGACUGCAGACGAGAGACCAGCAGCGACGCCACGGCGACUGCAUGGAAGUUCCGUCCACCGGCAGCGGUGUCACGGCGACGUGCAUACGGAAAUUCAGACAAAAUGGACGUCUACUCAUGGACGUCUGAAUAAGUUAGUCGCCACAAAGACGCCUGCUGACCUACCUCGCCGUGAGAACGCCUGAACUAGAUAUGUGGCCACAAAGCGCUUCAGAUUUUAUGACUUAGUUUAGGAUUUACUAGUGUUUUAUACAACCAGCACAUUUAUAUCACUUGGUACAGCAAUGUAUAAUGGUGUAGGACAGAUAACGUGUUGUUUAAAUGUAGGCUAUUUUGAUGGUGCCUGUUUUGAUACUGUUAUUCACUCUCAAAGUAGACCUAUUAUUGUUUUAGUUGAGAUAAUGAAUUGCUUAUUUGUUUGGGUAAUUUACUGUAAUUAAAAUGGGUAGGUCUACAGACUUAGCAUUAAACACCACUGAAAGUGUUAUCUAUUACUACAGUAUAUCUGUAACAUUUAUAUUUAAAAUGUAUAUUAAUGUAAUUAUCUGCAGGUGUAUUAUUUUAAGGUGUAUUUUGGUUAUUGGUUAUUGGGUUUAUUUAUUCAGAUUCAUACAGAAGAAAUUGUGUCGAUUAUUUAUUGAUUGAGUAGUUAAUUUUGAUAACAAUGCUAAGAAUAUCUGAUGUGGUGUAAAAUAAAAGAGAUGACAAUGGCAGCCAACAUAACCAGUGUUAAAUCUCCUUUCUUGCCUGUUUUCAUAUUUCCCUGUACACACAGGAGACGAUAGAUCUACCAACACAACAAUUUAUCAUCUGUACAAUACCAAGAAUCAACAGAUGUUCACGAGUAUAUGAUUACAUUCAUGAAUACAAUUUGAAUUAAGCUCACACUCACAAACAAAUAUUUUCUAAAUGAAUACUCUGAGCAAGCAUGACAAUACUGCAAGCCAUUACAUCAUGUCUUGUACUUGCACUAAUGCUACUCAAUACCUUUGCAAAUACUUCGCAGGAGGGAGAAGCCCAGCACAGUGACCUGACUGCAAUCGUGUGUUUGAGGCACUUUUCAUCCAACUCUACGAGCAGUACUGUGGAUCAAGGCAAGAUGUUGAGUUUAUAAACACUUUACCCAGCCAAUAAUAACCUAGUAUCUGUGCCAUUUCCUGUGUAGCCAUGUUGUCAUCUGAUAUUAUGCUUUGUUAUACAAAAAAGGUAAUACUUUUAGGCACUGCACAGGGGAACAAGCACAGGAGAACUACUGUCGUGAGCCCAGAGAGGCUCCAUCUUCUGUUCUGAGGCCGGUUCCUGAGCUUCCUCUCCCGUCAACCAAACCAGCACUUCAACCACUUGCCCACACCUCCACCUCGUUUUCCUAUUGAAGUAGUAAUGUCACUAAUACAAUCUUCUGGAAUUUCUUUAAAAGAUUGCGGCAACGGCAAGGUUUGGGGUGCUUGGGGGUGCUGCAGGAGGAAGCACUGAAAGGAUCGCAGAAAGGAUUUUGCAGGCACCAACAAAGCUCCCCUGCGGUGGAGAUGCUGCAUUGGUGUUGGAGGACACAGAGAACAGAGUGACGCUGAACCAGCUCCUCAUGUUUGUCACAGGGGCGGACAGAGUUCCUCCCCUACGAUUCCCAGGAGAGCCAACAUUAAACUUUUUGCACACUGGCACUGUCUUCCCGGAAGCAAACACGUGUGCACUAAUUCUGAAGUUGCCUCUUCACACCACCUAUGAAUCAUUAAGUGAUUCCAUGAUUUCAGGAAUCAUCCAGUCCCCCUGUUUUGGGUAUGCUUAAUGUAACACUUUUUUUUUGCAUCUUCUUGCUUAUGUUUUGCAUCUUCUUUAAAUAAAGAAUGUUCCAGUGCCACGUU